Molecule: long non-coding RNA, 2261 nt
Filed under: Homo sapiens (human)
Lineage: Eukaryota; Metazoa; Chordata; Mammalia; Primates; Hominidae
Description: non-protein coding LINC00662:53
Source: RNAcentral
AGAGAUGCGCAGUGCUGCCCCUUUCUAUGGGCAGGGCCGAAGGUCCGCGUGUAAAAGUACCCAGUCCCUGGUAACCUGACACUUCCCUUUUAAAAGCCACCUUUUGUCUAUCUCUGGCCUGCCACGAUUCUUCCUGUGCUCCAUAGGAGGACCCAUUGGACCCCCGGGCUGGCUGCAGGGCCCACACCUGGGUUAGACCUCGCACAGGGACGCUGCUGCCACUGUAAUAAAGCGUGCCUACACGCUUCUGAAACUGGUGUAGGAACAACCUCAGUUCUGUGAAAGGCGGACGCAGCAGGACAGAAUCUCCGUGGACAUCUGUCUGGAGGAGCAAUUUUACUGCGACAUUUUAAAGAAACAAAUUUAAUUGAUUUCCAAGGCUAGAGUGUGACAGAAAUCUAAAAGAUCAACUUCAUCGUGCAGGAAGGAGCAUAGAAAAAUAGAGAAAAGAAGAAAACAGCAAACCAUUCUGAGUACCGUGGAAACAAACUAAAAGUGGGCUUAGAAGGAAAACAGAGGAAGAAGGUCUGAGUAGUCCCAGGGACUCCAGAGGCCAAGAUGGGAAAGCCACCCAGGCGAGACAGGGGAGAUGGAAGCCACAGGGAAUCACUAUCACAUACCUCUGCUGGACCUGAAUGGUCCUGGCGCCAGCUAGAGCCAUCUGGUCGACCUUAGACAUGUCAAGGCAGGAGCCAUCUGAUCGACCUUAGACUUGGCAAGCUGGUGGCUAAGUCCAGUGCUCACUGCCGACAUCUGUCUCAAAAUAAACAAAAAGUCCAACAGUGAAUAUUUAACAAUAACAAAAAUAUAAUACCAAACAAUAUUAAAGACCAAUAAAUAAGUGGGAGUGAACAAAGGUAAAAGGUAACUAAUAUCACAAUUAAAAUAUUCUGCUAUCUCUCACUCUCUCUCUUCCCCUUUCCAUUUGUCACACCCAGGCUGGAAUGUGACAAAAAAAUAUAAAAGGUCAAUUUCAUCAUGCAGGAAUGAGUGUAGAAAAAGGGAGAAAAGAACAAAGAAGAAAAACAACAGCAAGUCUCUCUAAAACUUCAGUUAGUUUCACUGUAGAAAAAAAAAUUGAAAGUGGGGUUAGGAAAAAAAGGAAGGAGGAGGAUAAGUUCAGGUAGCCUGAGGGACUAGGGAAGCCAAGUGGGAAGACCACCUGGGUGACACUGGGAAGAUCGAGACCACAGUGAAUCAUGAUCACAUCCCUCUGCUGUACCUGAAUAGUACUUCCAAAGGCAGGAGCCAUCUGGUCAUCCUUAGUCAUGGCAAGGCGAGAGCCAUCUGGUUGACCUUAGAUAAGGUGAGAGCCAUCUGGUUGACCUUAGACUUGGCAAGCUGGCAGCUAAGUCCAAUCCUCUCAGCUGACAUCUUGGAGAGAGAGACAGACAGACAGACACAAACAGCGAGACAGGAGAAAAUCUUAAUUGUGUUAUUAAUUACUUUUCACCUUUGUUCACUCCAAACAGAAAAAAAUCCAACAGUGAAUAUUUAACAAUAACAAAGAUAUAACUACAAACAAUAUUAAAGACAAAUAAAUGGGAGUGAACAAAGGUAACAGGUAAUUAAUAUCACAAUUAAAUUCUUCUAAUCUCUUUCUAUCUCUCACUCUCGAUUUCUCUCUGUCAACUUCAUCAAGCAGGAAGGAGCACAGGAAAAUAUAAAGAGAAAACAAGAAAAAAAUAGAAAGUCACUCUAAGGACUGUGGAAACAAACUGAAAGUAAGGUUAGGAAAAACAAAGGAAGGAUGUCGAAAUAGUCUGAGGGAAUCAGGAGGCCGAGAUCAUCAGAAGGCCACCCUGUAGAGACCUGGAAGACGCCCAGGGCACAGUGAAUCACGAUCCGAUCCCUCUGCUGGACCUGAAUGGUACUGCUGCUGCUGAGAGCCAUCCUCUCGACCCUAGACUUACCAAGCUGGUGGCUAAAUACAACCCUCGUGGGAAGAUCUGUCUCAAAAGAAAAAAAUCCAACAGGGAAUAUUUAACAGUAACAAAGAACUAACCAUAACAAUAUUAAAGACAAAUAAAUAAGUGGGAGUGAACAAAGGUGAAAGGUCAAUUAUAUCACAAUUAAGAUCUUCUCUCUCUUUCUCCAUUUGUCACAACCAGGCUGGAUUGUUCCAAAAAAAAAAAAUCUAGAAGGUCAAAUUCAUCAUGCAGGAAGGAGGGUAAGAAUAUAUAUAGAGAGAAAAGAACAGAGAAGAAAUACAACAGCAACUCACUGUAAGUACUGUAGAAACAAACUGAAAGUUGGGUUAG